AUACGAAGGGGGCAAGCGUUGUUCGGAAUUACUGGGCGUAAAGGGCGCGUAGGCGGUUCAGCAAGUCUUGUGUGAAAGCCCGGGGCUCAACCCCGGAUGUGCGUCCAAAACUGUAUUGCUUGAGGCCGAGAGAGGGUGGCGGAAUUCCCAGUGUAGAGGUGAAAUUCGUAGAUAUUGGGAAGAACACCAGUGGCGAAGGCGGCCACCUGGCUCGGAACUGACGCUGAGGCGCGAAAGCGUGGGGAGCAAACAGGAUUAGAAACCCCAGUAGUCC
Molecule: ribosomal RNA, 274 nt
Filed under: uncultured bacterium
Lineage: Bacteria
Description: partial 16S ribosomal RNA
Rfam family: Bacterial small subunit ribosomal RNA
Source: RNAcentral